CCCAACGAUGUCCCCAAUGAUGUCCCCGCGCUCCGGCUGUGUCAGCGCUAUUUCCGCCGCGGGGACAUCGACCCCGACAACGACACCUUCGACAUCGACCCGCGCGUCGUCACCGAGUGUCUCCUGGUCCAUCCUGGGGAUCCGCGGCCGCCGGCGCUGAACGGCAGCGACGGCAACUUCACCCUACAGUUCCACCGGCUGAUCAACGUCACCAUCGAGUUCCAGCUCAAAGCCAUCAACAUCCAAACGCUGCUCAACAACGAAAUCCCCGACUGCUACCGCUUCGGUGUCACUCGCUGUCCCCGUGUCCCCAGAUCACGUU
This is a long non-coding RNA of Malurus melanocephalus (red-backed fairy wren), 322 nucleotides long. RefSeq lists it as uncharacterized. The record is from RefSeq and is a predicted model, not a curated record. Lineage: Eukaryota; Metazoa; Chordata; Aves; Passeriformes; Maluridae. The transcript is spliced from 4 exons.